AUCUACAGCCAUGCCACCCUAAACGAGCCCGAUCCCAUCUGAUCUCAGAAGCUAAAGCAGGGUUGGGCCUGGUUAGUACUUGGAUGGGAGACCACCUAGGAAGACCAGGUGCUAUAGGUG
This 120-nucleotide ribosomal RNA is filed under the name Pteropus alecto (black flying fox). The record is from RNAcentral. Lineage: Eukaryota; Metazoa; Chordata; Mammalia; Chiroptera; Pteropodidae.